UACAUGGGGUGCAAACGUUGCUCGGAAUUAUUGGGCGUAAAGCGCGCGUAGGCGGUUAUCUAAGUCGGAUGUGAAAGCCCUCGGCUUAACUGAGGAAGUGCACCCGAAACUGGAUAGCUAGAGUACGAGAGAGGGUCGCGGAAUUCCCGGUGUAGAGGUGAAAUUCGUAGAUAUCGGGAGGAACACCGGUGGCGAAGGCGGCGACCUGGGUCGAGACUGACGCUGAGGCGCGAAAGCGUGGGGAGCAAACAGG
This 253-nucleotide ribosomal RNA is filed under the name uncultured bacterium. RNAcentral's name for it is "partial 16S ribosomal RNA". It matches the Rfam family "Bacterial small subunit ribosomal RNA", at positions 524 to 776 of the family's 1533-position model. The record is from RNAcentral.